GAUAAACGCUGGCGGCGUGCUUAACACAUGCAAGUCGAACGAAGUUUUUCUUUCGGGAGGAACUUAGUGGCGGACGGGUGAGUAACGCGUGGGUAACCUGCCCUGUACAGGGGGACAACAGCUGGAAACGGCUGCUAAUACCGCAUAAGCCCUUAGCACUGCAUGGUGCAUAGGGAAAAGGAGCAAUCCGGUACAGGAUGGACCCGCGUCUGAUUAGCCAGUUGGCAGGGUAACGGCCUACCAAAGCGACGAUCAGUAGCCGAUCUGAGAGGAGGUACGGCCACAUUGGGACUGAGACCCGGCCCAGACUCCUACGGGAGGCAGCAGUGGGGAAUAUUGCACAAUGGAGGAAACUCUGAUGCAGCGACGCCGCGUGAGUGAAGAAGUAUUUCGGUAUGUAAAGCUCUAUCAGCAGGAAAGAAAAUGACGGUACCUGACGAAGAAGCACCGGCUAAAUACGUG
This 462-nucleotide ribosomal RNA is filed under the name uncultured bacterium. RNAcentral describes it as "partial 16S ribosomal RNA". It matches the Rfam family "Bacterial small subunit ribosomal RNA", at positions 28 to 507 of the family's 1533-position model. The record is from RNAcentral.